RNAcentral lists this transfer RNA (72 nucleotides) under Bos taurus (domestic cattle). It matches the Rfam family "tRNA". Rfam says of the family: Transfer RNA (tRNA) molecules are approximately 80 nucleotides in length. Their secondary structure includes four short double-helical elements and three loops (D, anti-codon, and T loops). Further hydrogen bonds mediate the characteristic L-shaped molecular structure. tRNAs have two regions of fundamental functional importance: the anti-codon, which is responsible for specific mRNA codon recognition, and the 3' end, to which the tRNAs corresponding amino acid is attached (by aminoacyl-tRNA synthetases). tRNAs cope with the degeneracy of the genetic code in two manners: having more than one tRNA (with a specific anti-codon) for a particular amino acid; and 'wobble' base-pairing, i.e. permitting non-standard base-pairing at the 3rd anti-codon position. The record is from Rfam by way of RNAcentral. Lineage: Eukaryota; Metazoa; Chordata; Mammalia; Artiodactyla; Bovidae. RNAcentral also lists the same sequence under 2 other names.
UCCCUGGUGGCUCAGACGGUACAGAAUCUGCCUGCAAUGCAGGAGACCUGGGUUUGAUCCCUGGGUGGGGAA